RNAcentral lists this ribosomal RNA (1424 nucleotides) under metagenome. RNAcentral describes it as "bacterial SSU rRNA". It matches the Rfam family "Archaeal small subunit ribosomal RNA". The record is from RNAcentral.
UCCCGUUGAUCCUGCGGGAGAUUGCUGCUAUUGGGAUUCGACUAAGCCAUGCAAGUCAGGUAGUAAUACCGGCGACAGGCUCAGUAACACGUCGAUAAUCUGCCCUAAGGUCAGGGAUAACCUCGGGAAACUGAGGGUAAUACCUGAUAGGCAAGCUGCUCUGGAAAGCGCGCUUGCUUAAACUCGAGCCUUAGGAUGAGUCGGCGGCCGAUUAGGCUGUUGGUGGUGUAACGGACCACCAAACCGAUGAUCGGUAGGGGCCAUGAAAGUGGGAGCCCCGAGAAGGACACUGCGACACUGGUCCUAGCCCCACGGGGUGCAGCAGGCGCGAAAAUUUUACAAUGCACGAAAGUGUGAUAAGGGGAUCCCAAGUGCUUGCACACUGUGUAGGCUUUUUUCAAGGGUAAACACCUUGGAGAAUAAGUCUGGGUAAGACUGGUGCCAGCCGCCGCGGUAACACCAGCGCCACGAGUGGCAAUCGUGUAUUUGGCCUAAAGCGUCCGUAGCCGGCUUGGUAAAUCUUUUGUGAAAUCGUUGCGCUCAACGUAACGGCGUGCAGAAGACACUGCUGAGCUUGAGACCGGGAGGAGUCAGAGGUAUUCUAGGGGGAGCGGUAAAAUGCUAUAAUCCCUGGAGGACCACCAGUGGCGAAGGCGUCUGACCAGAACGGAUCUGACGGUGAGGGACGAAAGCCAGGGGAGCGAACCGGAUUAGAUACCCGAGUAGUCCUGGCCGUAAACGCUGUGAGCUAGGUGUUGCCUAUUCUACAGGAAUGGGCAGUGUCGAAACGAAGGUGUUAAGCUCACCGCCUGGGAAGUACGGUCGCAAGACUGAAACUUAAAGGAAUUGGCGGGGGAGCACUACAAGGGGUGCGGCGUGCGGUUUAAUCUAACUCAACGCAGAGAACCUCACCAGCAGCGACAGCAGGAUGAAGGUCAGUCUAAAGGGCUUACCUGACGCGCUGAGAGGUAGUGCAUGGCCGCCGUCAGCUCGUGCCGUAAGGUGUCCUCUUAAGUGAGGCAACGAGCGAGACCUGUGCCUGCAAUUGCUAACAGCCAGUUUCUGGGACUGAGCACAUUGCAGGGACUGCCUUGGAAACAAGGAGGAAGGUGCAGGCUACGGUAGGUCUGUAUGCUCCGAAUCCACUGGGCUACACGCGCGCAACAAUGGCAGCGACAAUGGGAUGCGACCCUGAAAAGGGAAGCUAAUCCUCGAAACGCUGUCCAAGUCCGAAUUGAGGAUUGCAACUCAUCCUCAUGCCGACGGAAUCCCUAGUAAUCAGAGUUCAUCAUACUCUGGUGAAUACGUCCCUGCUCCUUGCACACACCGCCCGUCAAACCAACCGAGCAGUGUUUAGAUGAGACUCGACCUAUUAGUCAUUUCGAAUCUAAGCUCAGUGAGGUGGGUUAAGUCGCCACAAGGUA